RNAcentral lists this ribosomal RNA (166 nucleotides) under Scleria foliosa. RNAcentral describes it as "5.8S ribosomal RNA". It matches the Rfam family "5.8S ribosomal RNA". Rfam says of the family: 5.8S ribosomal RNA (5.8S rRNA) is a component of the large subunit of the eukaryotic ribosome. RNAcentral also lists the same sequence under 3 other names. The record is from RNAcentral. Lineage: Eukaryota; Viridiplantae; Streptophyta; Magnoliopsida; Poales; Cyperaceae.
AACAUGACUCUCGGCAACGGAUAUCUCGGCUCUCGCAUCGAUGAAGAACGUAGCGAAAUACGAUACGUGGUGUGAAUUGCAGAAUCCCGCGAACCAUCGAGUUUUUGAACGCAAGUUGCGCCCGAGGGUCCUGCCCGAGGGCACGCCUGCCUCAUGGGCGUAAUAA